GACAGAGCUGCCAUUAGAUGGAAACCAAUUUAUAUUUUACACGAAGACCAUUUUUUAAAACAUAUUCAAAACAUACAUGCAUGGAUUGAUAAGAACAUUUACAGCUACACAUAGCUAAUAUGAUCCCUCAAACGUCCGCAGACGCGCCCGGUCGCUAAUUGGGCGCGUACAUUUUAAACCCUCAUAUUUGCCUCCAAACAUCCAAGUAUCUUAAAUUUGUCUCCUCAGCUUUUAGUCAUUUCAACAAACACCUUGUAUGCGAGCACUUAGAACAACAACGGCGGAGCAGCGGUGUCAGCAUGCGCACACCAGUGACGGCGCGCUCCGGCGGCGGCCGCGCCCGUGGCUUCGCUCCCCGGCGGCCAACGCCGGGCACCCGCACCCGGCGGCAGCAUGUCCUGAGUCCGUGCC
Molecule: long non-coding RNA, 411 nt
Filed under: Hordeum vulgare
Lineage: Eukaryota; Viridiplantae; Streptophyta; Magnoliopsida; Poales; Poaceae
Description: long non-coding RNA (HVUL_LNC018759)
Source: RNAcentral